AGAGUUUGAUCCUGGCUCAGAUUGAACGCUGGCGGCAUGCCUUACACAUGCAAGUCGAACGGUAACAGCACUUCGGUGGCUGACGAGUGGCGGACGGGUGAGUAAUACAUCGGAACGUGCCCGAUCGUGGGGGAUAACUACUCGAAAGAGUGGCUAAUACCGCAUACGAUCUACGGAUGAAAGCGGGGGAUCGCAAGACCUCGCGCGGACGGAGCGGCCGAUGGCAGAUUAGGUAGUUGGUGGGAUAAAAGCUUACCAAGCCGACGAUCUGUAGCUGGUCUGAGAGGACGACCAGCCACACUGGGACUGAGACACGGCCCAGACUCCUACGGGAGGCAGCAGUGGGGAAUUUUGGACAAUGGGGGAAACCCUGAUCCAGCCAUGCCGCGUGCAGGAUGAAGGCCUUCGGGUUGUAAACUGCUUUUGUACGGAACGAAAAGACUCUUUCUAAUACAGAGGGUCCAUGACGGUACCGUAAGAAUAAGCACCGGCUAACUACGUGCCAGCAGCCGCGGUAAUACGUAGGGUGCAAGCGUUAAUCGGAAUUACUGGGCGUAAAGCGUGCGCAGGCGGUUAUAUAAGACAGAUGUGAAAUCCCCGGGCUCAACCUGGGAGCUGCAUUAGUGACUGUAUAGCUGGAGUGCGGCAGAGGGGGAUGGAAUUCCGCGUGUAGCAGUGAAAUGCGUAGAUAUGCGGAGGAACACCGAUGGCGAAAGGCAAUCCC
RNAcentral lists this ribosomal RNA (724 nucleotides) under uncultured bacterium. RNAcentral describes it as "bacterial SSU rRNA". It matches the Rfam family "Bacterial small subunit ribosomal RNA", at positions 8 to 728 of the family's 1533-position model. The record is from RNAcentral.